Molecule: ribosomal RNA, 718 nt
Filed under: Fusarium oxysporum
Lineage: Eukaryota; Fungi; Ascomycota; Sordariomycetes; Hypocreales; Nectriaceae
Description: SSU rRNA
Rfam family: Eukaryotic small subunit ribosomal RNA
Source: RNAcentral
UUUAGCAUGGGAUAAUGGAAUAGGACGUGUGGUUCUAUUUUGUUGGUUUCUAGGACCGCCGUAAUGAUUAAUAGGGACAGUCGGGGGCAUCAGUAUUCAAUUGUCAGAGGUGAAAUUCUUGGAUUUAUUGAAGACUAACUACUGCGAAAGCAUUUGCCAAGGAUGUUUUCAUUAAUCAGGAACGAAAGUUAGGGGAUCGAAGACGAUCAGAUACCGUCGUAGUCUUAACCAUAAACUAUGCCGACUAGGGAUCGGACGGUGUUAUUUUUUGACCCGUUCGGCACCUUACGAGAAAUCAAAGUGCUUGGGCUCCAGGGGGAGUAUGGUCGCAAGGCUGAAACUUAAAGAAAUUGACGGAAGGGCACCACCAGGGGUGGAGCCUGCGGCUUAAUUUGACUCAACACGGGGAAACUCACCAGGUCCAGACACAAUGAGGAUUGACAGAUUGAGAGCUCUUUCUUGAUUUUGUGGGUGGUGGUGUGGCCGUUUUUAGUUGGUGGAGUGAUUUGUCUGCUUAAUUGCGAUAACGAACGAGACCUUAACCUGCUAAAUAGCCCGUAUAGCUAGGCAGUACGCUGGCUUCCUAGAGGGACUAUCGGCUCAAGCCGAUGGAAGUGUGAGGCAAUAGCAGGUCAGGGAUGCCCUUAAAUGUUCUGGGCGGCACGCGCGCUACACUGACGGAGCCAGUGAGUACUUCCUGNCUACAAGUANNNGAUNU